This 442-nucleotide ribosomal RNA is filed under the name uncultured bacterium. Its description in RNAcentral is "partial 16S ribosomal RNA". It matches the Rfam family "Bacterial small subunit ribosomal RNA", at positions 338 to 795 of the family's 1533-position model. The record is from RNAcentral.
CCUACGGGUGGCAGCAGUGGGGAAUAUUGGUCAAUGGGCGCAAGCCUGACCCAGCCACGCCGCGUGAAGGAAGAAGGCUCUCGGGGUUUUAACUUCCUUUUACAGGGGAGUACAGAAGACGGUACCUGUCGAAUAAGCCACGGCUAACUACGUGCCAGCAGCCGCGGUAAUGCGGAGGGGGCCAGCGUUGUCCGGAUUUACUGGGUGUAAAGGGUGUGUAGGCGGGCUGACAAGUCAGAUGUGAAAUCCGGGGGCUCAACCCUCGAACUGCAUUUGAAACUGGUGGUCUUGAGUAUCGGAGAGGCAGGCGGAAUUCGUAGUGUAGCGGUGAAAUGCGUAGAUAUUAGGAGGAACACCAGUGGCGAAGGCAGCCUGCUGGACGACAACUGACGGUGAGGCGCGAAAGCGUGGGGAGCAAACAGGAUUAGAUACCCCAGUAGUC